Melitaea cinxia (Glanville fritillary) is the source of this 719-nucleotide long non-coding RNA. RefSeq lists it as uncharacterized. The transcript has 3 exons. Lineage: Eukaryota; Metazoa; Arthropoda; Insecta; Lepidoptera; Nymphalidae. The record is from RefSeq and is a predicted model, not a curated record.
CAAAUGUCUUGAGCGGUUUAAGGCUUGGGUCAUAUUUUUGGUGGAAAAUUGAAAACACCUCAUGAUUAUGAAGAUUGUAGAAAGAGGAAACUUUGUGACAUUCAUUUUACAAAUAAAGACCACAAUCGUAAUCAUCGGUUAAAUACAUUAGCAGUUCCAUCUGUACAUUUACCUAGUAGGAUUCCUGCUAUUACACAGCAAGAAACAAAUAUAAGCUCUGUUUCUGAAAGUUUAUCUACUGGGCCUUCAACUUCUUUCACAGUCAAUGCAACCUGUUAUGAGGCUGAAGCUGCCAUGCUGGAGCAUGAUUACUGUAUCACAUAUGAUAAACCAUCUGCAAAUCGUAAAUAUGGCUGUAAUCCAUAAAAUAUUUUAUGUAUAAAAAUAAUAGAAACGUAAAGGAAAACAUUAAAUUAUCCAUAAAAUGUAAUUAUAAUACUAUUCAUGAAGUUUAUGGUGACUUAACAUUUUUAGAAAUACUUAUUGGUAAUAUAAUUAUUGUCAACUACGGAAUGCAAUGAAAGGUUGAAUGCAGUGACUUAGAUACUAGGUUUUCUAUGAAAUUAGCAUUUUAUCCUAUAUCUAUAUAGACAUGUGAUAGUCUGCCAACCCGAGGGGCUGUAUCCCCUUCAUUGUGAAAAGAGACCCAUGCCUAAAUGUGAGUUAUAUAAAAGGUUUGUAACCAUAUGGAUGGUUAAUAAAUAUAAAUUUUCGGCUCA